UUAUUAUGGCACGAGUCUGAAGUAUAAUUGCCACCUUACAUCGCUUUCCCUUUCUCCCCCUUUUGGCGAUUUAGGGUUUUCUCGUCUCCUGGGAAAUGGCUGAUUCUCCUCGCAAAAGGUAUUCGCGCUCUCCUUCUCCUUGGGAAGAAAAGUCAAGGUCUAGAUCCCCACCUGGAUCAUAUUCGAGGCCAAGGGGAAGAUCCAGGUCCAGAUCAAGGUCAAGAAGUCGUGGAAGGGAAGAAGUUUCUAAUCCUGGAAACACACUUUAUGUGACUGGUUUAUCUACAAGGGUGACGGAAAGGGACCUGGAGGAACAUUUCUCAAAGGAGGGAAAGGUGAAAUCAGUUUUUCUUGUCGUGGAACCACGUUCUCGGAUUUCUCGUGGUUUUGCUUUUAUAACGAUGGAUUCUCUUGAAGAUGCUAAUCGCUGCAUUAAACACCUGAAUCAGUCAGUUCUUGAAGGCCGUUACAUAACAGUGGAAAAGUCUCGAAGGAAACGUGCAAGGACUCCUACACCUGGUCACUAUCUCGGGCUUAAGAACGCAAGGGGUGAAGGUCGUGGUGACCGUGGUAGAUAUAGAGACCGUGAGGACUAUGGGUACCGAAGAUCUCCAAGGCAUUCACCAUAUAGAAGCAGACGAGAUUAUUCUCCUAGGCGCUCACCUUAUGGGGGAAGGUCAAGAAGGGAGCGUUCUAGGUCGUAUUCUCCUUAUGAAAGGGGCUAUGCUCGUGGUCCAAGAUAGGAGUUUAUCAAGUCCUAUGAAUUCCUAGAUGCAAGGGAAAACUGCUACUGAGGAUCUUUGUAUUUUGGUGUGUAGAGUGGGAAGAAGUAUUAUGCUAUUAAUGAAUGAAUAUUUGGUGUGUUUGUUCAUUGUGCUGAUGUAGAGCUAACUUUUAACUUUUACCUUUGUUUGCAAACUGAACAAUAUGAAAUCACAAACCGUGGGAAAUUUAGUUCUAGUGCUGAUGCUGGAAUUAUGGUCUGAUGAA
This is an RNA transcript of Nicotiana attenuata, 990 nucleotides long. It is a transcript of the gene named serine/arginine-rich splicing factor SR45a-like, with no coding region annotated. The record is from RefSeq and is a predicted model, not a curated record. The transcript is spliced from 7 exons. NCBI's taxonomy places the organism in Eukaryota, Viridiplantae, Streptophyta, Magnoliopsida, Solanales, Solanaceae.